UGUUGUUUUGGUAAAAAGUUAAUCCGAUACGAUUAGAUUCUGAUUCAUUGAUCAUCAUUGUCAUUGUCAUUGUGUCACCAGAUUUAAUUGACUGAAAUUGAUUCAGAUUAUUAAACAUGAUUAUAUUCAUAAUCCUUUCAGUGACUUAAUUGUGGAAAAAAAUUUUGUUAUUAAAUUGCUUGUGAUGUUAAUUGUUUGGAUGGAGCAAAAAUGUUUUCGUUUCCGUGAUGGUUUCCUUUUCUAAUUUUUCCAUUGAUGUGUGGUCUUCAUCUCUCUCUCUCUUGGUUUGGAUAUCAAUUUACACUCUUCUAACUGACCCAAUGCAAAUGUAAUGAUGACCUUUUCGUUUCACUGAUGAAUUUGAUUCUAAAUUGACCAUCGAAAAAUUUACUGGACAAUCAUCGUCAUCAAUUGUCUUCUCACUGUGGGAAAAGAAAGGGAUACUGCUAAUUAAUAACUUCCUUUUCCUCUCUCUCUCACACACACACACUCACUCAUUUAUCUUUUGUUUUCAAAAGAAUUGUAUUAAUUGUGUAGAAAUGUAAUUAGACAAAUAAAGAAAAAAAAAGUUUACUAUUUUUUCAAUAAGAAAAAAAACAAAA
Molecule: long non-coding RNA, 602 nt
Organism: Panonychus citri (citrus red mite)
Lineage: Eukaryota; Metazoa; Arthropoda; Arachnida; Trombidiformes; Tetranychidae
Exons: 3
Source: RefSeq, a predicted model, not a curated record